ACAGUCUGUCAAGUAUGAUUAUCCAGGUUAAAUCCAUGUAUCAGCUUUGUAUCUAAAGUUAUGAAUAUUGGCUAUGUAUUUAUAUCUCAAAUGUGUUUGUUCUUGGGGUAACACCCACAAGGUAGUUUACAUUCAGUCUCGACAGCCCAUUGUGAAUGGAGUAUUUAAAGCUUGAUGGGUCAUUCAGAAGAAUGAACUCUUCCGACAGCUCUUCUUGAGGAUGCCUCAGACAACAAGGAGCCAAAGGCCACCCUUGUGAUUCAGCAAGACCUAUAAGGGCAUGUGAUGUGGACAUGUGACCUCGGACUACAUCUUUUUUAGUAACUUUCCAUACACAGGGGCUUUGUUUGGGACAGUAAAUUUCAAUGCACAUGGCAGAAGAUAUAAAAGACACUCGAGAUAUCUCCAUUUUGCCUCAUUUCUGCUCCAGUUCUCUGGACUGUGGAUUUACAGCUAAACAGAGUAUUUUGAACAACGGACUGAGGACCAUCCAAUCUUUUGGAAGUUACCAGAGAGACUUUUGCAAGCCAGCAUGAUUACUGCUACGAUCCUGAUCUAUGAACACUGAAAAUCACUUGCUCUCAAAUGGACUUGUGAAGGAGACAUCAUAACCAGCACAAAAACCAGAGAUGAAGGGAAUCCUGCGGCUUUGUGAAACAGAUUUAAUACACAGAGAGACAAGGUGGGUGAGGCAAUGUCUUUUAGUGGACUAACUUUUGCUGGUGAAAGAGAGAAGCUUUUCAGCUACACAGAACUCCUCUUCAGGUCGUCUUCUACUGCCAACAACAAUGGAAGUUAUCGAAUUAAUACAAAGUAAUUUCUCUGUUGCAUUUUAACUUUUGGUGCACAGCGGCAAGUUUUAUUCUUUUGAACAUGCUCUUUUUGAUGGAUUAUUUGUCUCGGACCUUAGUCCAUUUCUGUUAAUGUUUUGGUUCAGUGCAAGGAUGUGUAACCGACGUAGUCUUAGAAAGCAUUUGUUUAUGUGGGUAUGUCUGUACAUUCACAAUGUAAAGGGGGGGGGAACCCUAAGAAUGUGAAAACAGUGUUUCUGAUGAGGCAAGAAGAAGGGUCUUUAUUUAGAAGAUUUACAUUAUAGGCAGAUCAUGAUACCACUGAAAUCACAGGACUUGUGUCAAUAACAACUUCAACAGAAGAGGGGUUGAGAUCCUACAUUGAUGGAGCCCUUGCGUAUCAAUUCUCAAAAUUAAUGCAGUAUGGUAUCUGAAAAACUGGAUCCCAACAUGCACUCUGAUAAAAGCACUACAGGUCUUUGUCUUGCAUUAAAAUGAAGCCUUGCCAACCUAGUUCUGUAUUUGUCUAGCAUAGCCCAACUACAAAAUGACUUCAGUGGCCAACACUCAAAAAGGACACAGCCCUGCAGAACGGAGGCAUGUUUUAAAUUAUGUCCUGUUAAAGCAGUGGAGAUUCAACCUAUACAUGCUGUAUUGAUGCUUAGCUCAUAGGAGAGCGAGAAAAGAAGCAGCAGCUCUAAAACUUUACCCUGUGAACUUGCACUACUUGAUAUAAAGAUCCAAGUCUCAAUUAUCAAAUUCAAGGAAAAGUCCAAAGACAUGA
This is a non-coding RNA of Chrysemys picta bellii (western painted turtle), 1575 nucleotides long. NCBI's taxonomy places the organism in Eukaryota, Metazoa, Chordata, Testudines, Emydidae. The record is from RefSeq and is a predicted model, not a curated record.